Long non-coding RNA from Nicotiana tabacum (common tobacco), 1000 nucleotides. RefSeq lists it as uncharacterized. The record is from RefSeq and is a predicted model, not a curated record. Lineage: Eukaryota; Viridiplantae; Streptophyta; Magnoliopsida; Solanales; Solanaceae.
GGUGAUGUGAUGUCCUAAUCUUCCUCCCACUCGCUAGACCUAAACAAAUUCUUCCUUUUUCUUGGAGGAGAAGAAGAAUACGAAAUCCAUUAUCGGAGAAGUCUGACUAUGAUCAUUCAGAUCAAAGGUCCUAUUAUCUCAGGGGUAAUGCAAUAUAGAUGGAAACAUUAAUUAUACAAACUCAUCAAAGUGAGUUAGCAAAAAUCUUACACUUUUUUUCUUCCAAUUAUAACUUUUGUUAGUCAAUGUGGAAGCUUUUGUUUUCCAUUGUUAACGUGAUGAUAUAAAUGGGGGGUUCUGUAAUACAAGUAGGAAAUGUGAUGUGUUUAAUGUAAAUCGAUUCGUUACUUCUAAAUUUCUGUACUAAAGGAUGCAGCUAAUUCUGUGUGCAUAUUAGUAGACAUUGAUAGUACUUUACCAGACAAUGACUUCAUAUAUCAACCAGGGCCUGGAUCAGUCAUCUGAAGGAUAUAUUGCUGGUUGUUCUAACGAUUCUAAGAUGCAUUUGAUCCCUAAGGAUAUGUAGCAAAACAUAUAUAAAGACUCCUCUCUGAAGAUUGCCUACUUUGUUGUCUAUCCAUUUGCUUUUACUAAACGAUGUAGUGCUCAUCGAGAUAUGACUUUGAAAGACAUUAAUCAACAGAUACGUACCACGCAAUCAAAGUCAAGGCAAAAUAGUAGAUCCUUAUAUUUUGAACAUCCAAAUCAGCAUUCUCUAGCAAGCUUGGCGUUUGGAAGACCACAAUACAGACUGAAGGAGGAAAGCAUUAACGUUGUGAGGACCAAAGGUUAGCAGAAGAGACGCGGACAGAGCAUAACAGAGAUGGAGAGAGCUGAUUGUUCUAUUUCGAUUUGGGGAUGUAAAGCAUUGUCCCACUUUUUACUCUAAAGGAUCGGUUACUUCUUAUUUGACUUGUGAUGUUGUGGUGAUGAAUCUUGCUGAUAUAGCAUUCAUAUAUUUUACUUUUCUUUUCUUUUUUCGUUUUCCAUCUACUUUUUG